Molecule: transfer RNA, 87 nt
Filed under: Butyricicoccus pullicaecorum
Lineage: Bacteria; Bacillati; Bacillota; Clostridia; Eubacteriales; Butyricicoccaceae
Also listed under: 1 other name
Description: tRNA-Leu
Rfam family: tRNA
About the family: Transfer RNA (tRNA) molecules are approximately 80 nucleotides in length. Their secondary structure includes four short double-helical elements and three loops (D, anti-codon, and T loops). Further hydrogen bonds mediate the characteristic L-shaped molecular structure. tRNAs have two regions of fundamental functional importance: the anti-codon, which is responsible for specific mRNA codon recognition, and the 3' end, to which the tRNAs corresponding amino acid is attached (by aminoacyl-tRNA synthetases). tRNAs cope with the degeneracy of the genetic code in two manners: having more than one tRNA (with a specific anti-codon) for a particular amino acid; and 'wobble' base-pairing, i.e. permitting non-standard base-pairing at the 3rd anti-codon position.
Source: RNAcentral
GCCGUCAUGGUGGAAUUGGUAGACACAAGGGACUUAAAAUCCCUCGGUAGCAAUACUGUGCGGGUUCGAUUCCCGCUGACGGCACCA